Long non-coding RNA from Pongo pygmaeus (Bornean orangutan), 987 nucleotides. RefSeq lists it as uncharacterized. The record is from RefSeq and is a predicted model, not a curated record. The transcript has 4 exons. Lineage: Eukaryota; Metazoa; Chordata; Mammalia; Primates; Hominidae.
GAGGACAUGGAGGUGAAGUGGCCAGCACAGUGCCCAGCUCCCCAUAAGUACCCACAGUGACUAUCGCUAUUAUUCCUUCAGUGGCUGGGACUGGGGCUUUGCUCAGGAUUCAAGCCUCCAUUCUCUCUGUAAACUCAAGAUGGUACACAAGCUUCUGUACCCCACUGGGAGACUGGGUCUUCAUUAUGAAGGCUCCUGGGUAUAUAUGCCACAAGGACAUUUCUGGACUGACCUGCUAGAGGAAGAUAGAAAGACAUAGUGCCACUGGACAUUUCAUUUUGGCCCACAGUAACCAACGUCCACAGAAUGGAACUGCCCAUGGGUACCCUUAGUGGGAAACAGGGAUAAAAAUGAAACUACUGCUUUCUCAACACCUACCGUGUGCCCGGAAAUGUUAACUCAUUUCAGUGAGAUGGUGAUGCUGGGGCCAGCAUUCAAGCCAGCCUCCAGCCUGACUUGGAAGCCCUGGGUGUUCACACCACCCAGCAGUGCCUCCAAAGACAGCCUCUAACCCUGCUUCCUUGUCUGGCCACACUCCUCGCCCACUCCGGCGCCGCGUCUGACCCCAAAACAUCUCUGCGAGGGCAGACCUCCAUGUUACAAAGUCCAGGAGACACUUUCCAACCUCACCUUACUUGCCCCUCUCAGCAGCUUGGCAUCUGUGUGGCUGUGGGUCUCCUGGGAUUCCCCCUGCCUACCUGGCCACACCUAUUCAGGAUGGCUGCUUGAGCUCCAGCCAUUUGGUCUGCAUUCAGUCAGAAAGGAAGAAGGAAGAAGGGGAGAAGAACACACGCCACACUCCACACCCUGUUAAGGAGAUUUCUUUAUUAAAGAGCCAGUGGAACAGUUUCUUACAUUUCAUUGGUUAGAACUUUGUAGCGUGGUCACAUCUCCCUUCAAUGGAAACUGGGAAAUGUAGUCUUUUAGCAGGUGACAAAGUGCCCAGCUAAAUAGUGAGAUUAUGUUAUGAAAAGGUAAAAGAUUGAA